CCUGACAAAGGGAUAGACUGUGUGCUAUGUGCAUUCUGCCGCCGUGCUGCGUUGAGGAAGAGGUCGCUUCAUCUCUUCUCUCCUAAAAAAAAAGAAACACAAUUUCGUUGGCAGUAAUAGCCCCGGUUGUGUGUGCUCAACCAGCCCCCGCGGCCGAGGAGGAGACUGUGGGAAGCUUGAGCUUUCUCCCCUCCCUCCUGCCACAAGGACCCGGCCUCUCUCUCUUUCCGCUUGGUUAUGCAAUGCACGUCUCUCCCACGGCUUGCACAGGGGACCCGCCACAACACAGCCGCCACCAGCUGCAGGUGCAGACCAACAGCUACGCAGCAGCACUCAGGCUUUCCAGCUCUCUGGGAUUUUACUGUUGUACUUGGCUCUUUGGAAUACCACUUGCUGAGCGGUGGGCUGUCUGUAGUAGCCGCCGCAAGCGCUAGCGUCUCCAGAGUAACCAUGCUUGGCUGUGCCUCCGGGUUUCAGCGGCAGGCGAUAGAGAGGCGCCUCUGAAAGGCACUAAUUGCUCUGCUCCCGAAGGUGGGAAGCAAGAAAGGAGGAGAGAAGAGGGGGCGUGAACAUUUGUCACAGAGACUGUGGCGCUCGCUCUUUGAGCUGCUAAGAGGGUCAAAAAGACAAGAACUGAGGAGGAGGAAGAGGGGGGCUGUGGUGGAAUUUGGAAUUGGAAAGAGAGGGGCGGGAGGAUGGGGAUCAUAGCGGGGAGGGAGGGGGAGCGUAUGGGGAGAGGGCUUCUCCAAGCCCCCUAGUGCUUCAGCUUUGGUGGAGGAGACCUGAGGAAUAAAACAACAAAAGCAAAAAACGGAGACUUUAGCGCAACCAACACCAAGGCAGCAUUUAACCCAGGGGGUGGCGCAGAGGACUGGAGAAUUCAUACAGCAAGAAGGGGGUGAUUUUUCACAGAGAGCAGUGUCUGCGCAGAGCCACGCACCAAGGCGCAGUUGGGAGCCAGGAUCUCCUUCUCCUCUUCAUUCCUUCUCUCCGACGCUGGGAGCGAGGCUACGCAGCCAGCCUCCCACGCUUCCCCCGAAUGCAGGCUCCCGUGUGUGGCCAUGCUUCUCCGCUCAGGACCCAAAAGCAUGCUGGAUGUCACCCCACUCUUCACGCCGUAGGAUAAGUGUCAGCAGCACCCCUGCCAGGUUGAGCGAGCAUUAUGGCCAUGGGUCCCACGGUCAUCACUAUUGAGGAGGUGCGGGCGCUGGAGAGCAAGGAGGAGCAGGAGGAGUCCAUUUUGGCCUUGCUGGGCAUCGUUGGCACCUUCCUCAACCUCUUUGUCAUCGUCUUUGUUUACAUAUACACUGUCGUGUGACCUAAGCCAGAGUAGGCGUGAUCCUCCAAAACGGCAAGGCACAAACCAAGAUUACUUUUAACCCUAAAUCAACAUACACUGGAUUUUAAAUCCCGAGCUCCUCCUCCCCUUAACUUUAUACUAGUUAAAAACGACAUGAGCAGUUUCCCAACACAGAGAGUGAGGGUGGACAGUUAUGUGGAGGAGGCGUCUCAGAGCCACAAACCAGGGAGAUAACAGUGAGCUGGUGGCUACAUCAGGACCAUAGCUGUGCUGGAUCUGGAUCCAGGAUGGGCAGACAGACACUGGCCCCGCCCCAGCCAGGGUUCACUUUCCCAGGCUACAGGCCAGCACAGCCUGGAGUGGAACUUCACCUUGGACUCAUUGGCGUGAUGAGGGAAACAGUGUUACUUUCAAAUCUCCUUUGUCAAAUGGAUUAUAAAAACGGAAUAAGGGACACUGAUGUCACUGGCCUGGACGGUUCAAGGAACAUGGCGUGGAGGAGGCAGUGCAUGCAAAGAACACUGGGAAGCCAUUACAGAUGAACUGUACACCACCAUAUCCCAUUGGUAAUCUUCCGGGGACAGCAUUUUAAACUGCUUGGUGGGAUGUCACAGCGCACGUUACCCCGGCAAUGUGGCUCUGGAGGAGCAUUAAUGUAAUGUGCUGCUUGCUGUCAGAUAGGCCACACACGCGCACACACACACACACACCCCAAAACCAAAGGGUUAGUCACCGCUUCUCAUGAUUUGACAAAUCACAACAGAGCGAUCUCUAUUGUCUGUAUCUCGCUCCCGGCAAGAACUGAUCUGCGAGGAGAGCAGGAGUGGCAAUGACUAGGAAACAUUUCUAUUCCAAUUGACCACCUGGGACUUCAAAACCAAAACUGGAGAUCUGCAAUAAAAAGGGAAGUGGAGAGAAAGACAGAUAGGAGAGCCUGCGGUGGCGAUGAAAUCAUCCGCAGGGGUGGAAAGGACCUUGUGGGCGCCAGAAAGAAAGCUCCAUUCUGCAUUUACUAAAACAUAAGGCCUGACUUACACUGUCUCUUUCUGCAUAUUUUUCCACGUUCUGUUUGGUUAUUGGGGGGUGGGGGUGGGGGGGUGACUGAUGUAUUUGUUCAUGUUGAUUUCAGGGUAGGGUCAGUAAUCCUGUUUCUGUAUAAAAAUGUAAAGCUUUUAUAAAUAUAUGGAUAAACUCUAGAUGUACUGUGCUAUAGGGAAAAUGUAAACAAUAAAAUUAGAAUAUAUGAAUUGGA
Salvelinus fontinalis (brook trout) is the source of this 2552-nucleotide long non-coding RNA. RefSeq lists it as uncharacterized. NCBI's taxonomy places the organism in Eukaryota, Metazoa, Chordata, Actinopteri, Salmoniformes, Salmonidae. The record is from RefSeq and is a predicted model, not a curated record. The transcript has 2 exons.